This 196-nucleotide ribosomal RNA is filed under the name uncultured bacterium. Its description in RNAcentral is "partial 16S ribosomal RNA". It matches the Rfam family "Bacterial small subunit ribosomal RNA", at positions 328 to 539 of the family's 1533-position model. The record is from RNAcentral.
ACGCUCGACACCUAGGAGGCAGCAGUGGGGAAUAUUGCACAAUGGGGGAAACCCUGAUGCAGCGACGCCGCGUGAGCGAAGAAGUAUUUCGGUAUGUAAAGCUCUAUCAGCAGGGAAGAAACUGACGGUACCUGACUAAGAAGCACCGGCUAAAUACGUGCCAGCAGCCACGGUAAUCUGAGCGGGCUGGCAAGGC